CAAACAAUAACAGCAACAGCAACACCUCUGGGGGCGGGGGCAGUGGCAGUAACAAUGCGGCACAGCAAAAAUCUAAAUCGAAUUCCAAGCGCUCCAUCGCGGAGACUGUGAACCUCGCCGCCCAGAAGUUCCUGGCAGACUCCUCAAAGAAGUGAAAAAAAAAAAAACGAGACGAUCCAAUCCAGCAUUGCGAUAUAUGGUUGGGCUUUGCUAUACUUGAACUAUAGAUAUUAUCUCUUCUAAAUAUUACAAUGUGUGUAAAAAUCAUAGAAAUGGUGUUUUGCCAUGUGUACCGCGAAAAGUGCCUCCCCAAGGCUUUUGCUAAGAUCUUAAAGUGGUACUCAUAUACUCAAUGAAAAUAAUGGAAAAAUUCCCUCCAAUAAUUGAUA
Selaginella moellendorffii is the source of this 389-nucleotide long non-coding RNA. RefSeq lists it as uncharacterized. The record is from RefSeq and is a predicted model, not a curated record. NCBI's taxonomy places the organism in Eukaryota, Viridiplantae, Streptophyta, Lycopodiopsida, Selaginellales, Selaginellaceae. The transcript is spliced from 3 exons.